ACGGCGCGGGACCCGCGCUAUCCUUUGGGAUUUUGAGGGGCGGGUCCCGGCAGGGGCCCCCAACGUGGCUACUCCUGCGAGUCUCCGAGAGGGAAACAGGUGGUCGCGGGGUGGCUGUGGCGAGGUAGCUCCUCUCCGGUAGCCACGGGGUGUCGGAUGUGCGCCUUUACCCACCCGUGAUGUGCGCCUUUACCCAGGGUGGAUGUGUGCAUCUCCUGGAGCCGGCUGGGACCCCGCAUCGGGCUUUGGUCAAGGAUCUUUCGAAGGGGGGUUGCAAACUGGGAUGCACAUGGGGCCAGGCAGAUGCACAAUGGGUCCAACUCUUACCUGAUUUCAACUAUGCACCAGGCGCUGUCUAUAGUUAUUCAUUCAUUGAAUCCUCACCACGCCCCCUGAACUUGCUACUUGUGAUGACUGUGAUUUUACAGAUAGGGAAACAGGUAGGCAAGGUGAAAGUCGCUUACCCAAGAUCACAUGAGUAG
RNAcentral lists this long non-coding RNA (482 nucleotides) under Macaca mulatta (Rhesus monkey). RNAcentral describes it as "lncRNA (ENSMMUG00000054004.1)". The record is from RNAcentral. Lineage: Eukaryota; Metazoa; Chordata; Mammalia; Primates; Cercopithecidae.